Molecule: long non-coding RNA, 2877 nt
Organism: Antechinus flavipes (yellow-footed antechinus)
Lineage: Eukaryota; Metazoa; Chordata; Mammalia; Dasyuromorphia; Dasyuridae
Exons: 3
Source: RefSeq, a predicted model, not a curated record
CAAGCGGGGAGGAGCACAGAUAGGAUCAUCUCAGCCUAAACUGGGCCUUUUGUGUUUAUGUAGGCCUUUUGUUCAAGUGGAUUUUUGCUUAUAGUUCCAUCACAGGAGGAGGUUUCUGGUAGUCUCACCUUUGCUGUAACCAAUCAGAAAACCCAGGUUAUGAUGUCAAACCCCAGAAGUUAUGGUUUCCCUAUAAAAGGACUUAACUUUCUCGCUAGCUGUUAACCCCUUUAGCCCAGGAUUAGUUAGUGAGCUAAUUUCAGUUAGAAUUUAGCUUGCCCUUAGCAUCAUAAUAAAAUCUUUGCUCUUUGAUUUGGAGGCCUACAUUCUUUUGAGACACCUUAUGACCCCAGACUGUAAUUCCAAUAUGCUUUUAGGUGGAACUCCAUACCCCGUCAUUUUGAUGGGAAACCCCGUCAUUUUGAUGGGAAACCCCAUCAUUUUUGUGGCCCUAUAAAGGAAAGAAUCUGAUGUGCACCCAGGAACCUCAACAGGGUUUUAGGAUUUUUGAUGAUAGUGGAGCUAAUUAAUCUCUUUCUUUUCAAGGUUCUCUUAUCAACCAUCUAGUCACUCCUCUCUUUCCUUUGCUGAAUUCAUAUCCACAAACAUACUUGAUUGACCAUCUGUAUCUGAAAAUGCUCUGUCUUGGACCCUGAAGCAGAUAAGAAAGAGGAUAAUCAGGGAUAUCCAUAUUCUACAGGAUGACUCUAAAUACUGCCUAACUAGCCCCUACAAAAAGAAAGGCUCAAAGUUCACUCUGUACCCCAAUGAUACUUUCUUUCCAGGUAUAUCCCUGAAACUUUUGGACUAAGAUGGAAAGCUCACAAGAUAUAGCCAAUCUCCACUGAAAAUAAGAAUGGAUAAAUGUAAAGAGAAAAAGAAUGGAGCCCCGUUGUCCACAGAUGAGAAGUGUCCCAGUUGCUUUCUUUCCAGAAUACAGAAAGUAGUGAAAAAAUCAUAAGGUGACCAGGCCCUGACUUUUGAAUAUACCCUACCUUGGCCAUGCACUCAAUUAAGCAGGCUUAUAUUUGCAAUAUUUGGUGGAGCAAAAGCAGUUAUAGAAAAUCUGUGCAUGUUCCAAUAGCCACAUCAGAAAGGUAAUCUGGGAUGUUCAUAAGUACUGGGUUCACUGACCAGUUUCUGUUACAUUCUAAUAGGGAAGGAUAAUGCAUAAAGGAAAUUCUGGAGCAGUCUAUCAACAAAGAGGCAAUCUGGAAAAUGAAUUGAUGAUGUCUGUGGUUGCUCAGGAAAUGAUGAUGUGGGCUAAGAAUUCACCAGUUAGAUAAAAGAGCUUAUCUUUAGGGCUUUAUCAAAGGUUGCAAAACUGCUAGUGAGAAGGUGAAGAAGAUGAACUAAAGAUAGUAUCUGGGAGCUACCAGAACAUCCCUAAAUUAAAUCUAGGUAGAACCAAGAGUAUCUGGCCCAGAUAAAUGAUGAGACUAGCAGAACACCACCAGGGGAAAUUAAAUGCUAUUGCUGGGAGACUAGUGGAGAAUAUGGAGAAUUAGUAGAUCUGAUUAGAUCAAUAAAGGAGCAAUGUACCUGGCUGAGAUGUCUGCAGUGAAAAGCAGAUCUGAAAAAGCGUCAUGAAGACCUCAUUAGAACACAAUCGUGCAGUGCUGUCCCUCUACAAAUUCCCCAUGGUGGGCCACCGGUGCACUGGUCAUUUGAAUAUAUAAUCUGUUUUUCCAGACAACGCUGGAUCAUUUUAUAUGGGACUUGCCUAAUUGGUGGGUAUGUGUAUGUGUAUGUAUAGAUCGGUCCUGACAGCUCUCUCUGGAAUUUUUCCCACUCCUCUCCAAGGGAGGCUGUGAUUCCUGCCUGGAGAUAAGAAGGGCCUUGAGGUUGGAUAAAUUGUUCUCUGUUCUCUAGAAGAGACAUUGUAUUACAAAGAUAUCUCUCUUGACUCCCUAAAAAUUCUGGUCUAAAGUCAUGAUUGGUUCAAGAAAAAGGCUGCUAAUUUUUCUUGUCUGUAUCUCUUUGGGGGGAAGGAGGGGAAGGGUUGGGGUAGCCCUUAUCUUAUAUUUACCAGUUUGAUUUCUCCCUUAUCUUAUAUUUACCAGUUUGAUUUCUUCCUACCAAAAACAAAAGCCAUCACAAAUAGUAAAUAGUGAGUAAACCCAUUUAUCUGAGGACAUGACAAAUAGAAAUUGGAGUUGUACAAAUGAGAAUAUAGCAGAAAAUUCACAGAAUAAAUGAGAUUUUGGUCUAGGAAAAGAUAGCUUAAAACAAGAGAGAGGUACAGAUUUUAGCCAAGGGAGAUUCCCCAAAAUCUAUGGAAAUCAAGGAUAUAUUGAAACACUGAUUUCCCUUAAAUGUCUGUACCUUUCAAAAUCUGUCUGUAUGUCUUUGUAGUUCUCAAAGAGUUUGGUGCCAUGCAAAUUUUCUCUCUCAGAACAACAGCAAAAAGUGUUUUCUCUCUCCAGAGCUUUUUAACAAUUCUACUCUCUCCAGGUAUACAGAGUUGAGUCAGCAUUCUUUCCACCAAUUAGGAGACUUAUGUAAACUAUCCUAGGCUUAGCUGGAAAGCCGAAGUUAUAUAUAUUUGUGGGAGAGUCUAUCCUAGGUUUAUAGAAGAAUGUUCUAUUAUGAAAUUUUGGAUUGUAAUAUUUUGUAAAAAUCAUUAAAAAAAAAUCUUGAUUUAAAAAAAAUUCUUGCCUUUCUUGAGAAAACAAACAUAUCAUUGGAGGCUCAUGGAAUAUCAUUUUAAAUGGAUGUGGACCUACAAAAUAACUUGAAUAGGAGGCAGUAUUUUGGUGAUUACGCAUAUGAGAGUGGGGACCCCAGGUGCUACUUAGAAAACAUUUUACAAACAUUGAGGCACUAUGUAAAUUCCAUUUAUUAUUUUUUAUUUGUAUUUAUAACAUAAUAACUUUG